AGGUGGAUGGUGUUUGAAGUGAAUUGAAUUAGGGGACACCCAGCUGGCAUCUGCUGCAGAACUGAUGACUCGCUUGCUGGUGGGCAGAAAUCUCCAUAAUCUUUCUUUAGCAGAUGAGGUCACUGAGGCUCAGAGAGGCUGAAGCCACUUGCUCAGAGCCGCACAGCAAGUCCACCACCCUGAACCUCCAGAUUCCCAACUCAGCAUUGUGUCCUGACAGUGUCAUCAUAGACGGUCAACACUGUCACCUGGGCAGCACUGAAGCCCAGAGCGGGAGAGACUGGCUCAAGACCAUGGGUAAGUCAGCAGCAAAGCUGGGGAAAGGAAACCACCAACCUGAGAGCCCCUGGCUGGUU
Molecule: long non-coding RNA, 356 nt
Filed under: Pan troglodytes (chimpanzee)
Lineage: Eukaryota; Metazoa; Chordata; Mammalia; Primates; Hominidae
Description: long non-coding RNA NONPTRT002250
Source: RNAcentral